Molecule: long non-coding RNA, 526 nt
Organism: Bos taurus (domestic cattle)
Lineage: Eukaryota; Metazoa; Chordata; Mammalia; Artiodactyla; Bovidae
Source: Ensembl
CUUCACGCUCCUGGCCCUGCAUCCUAGGAUUUCCUGUGUUGCAGAGUCGCUGUGGGGCUGGUUGCUUGCAGCUGGUGCUAAUAAGGCCACCGUCUGGGUUCAGGCCCCAUCGGGGCCUGUUCACUCUGCUCCGCGGCCAGAGGCUGAAGCUCCGUGUUCACGUCUGGUCAAGGGCACGUGGCAAAGGGGGCGGGCGACCUCUCCGGGAGGAAGUUACUCCUCAUGGUGUCUUCACCGCUGCAGAGGUCAGCACGGUUUUCUCCAGGAUUCUCUUCUCUCUAAGGAGUCUGUCAAGCCUAGGAUGUGAAGCUGAAUCAAUGCUGCUCUGCGAUGCUAUGGACACCAGGCCAGAGUGCCCUCCUGUUACACUAAUUGGCCUGGGCAGCUCUGCCCCUGGGGAGCUGAUUCCUUGGCCUCCCCCGGUGCCGGCUCAACUAAUAGCUCCAGCCUCUGAGUUGCCCCAGAGAACUACCAGCAGGCCCCCGUCUGCCUCCCCAAACCUGCCUCACUAGGCAUAGAAUAGGAA